GACAGAGGAGGCGAGCGUUAUCCGGAGUCAUUGGGCGUAAAGGGUACGUAGGCGGCUAGUCAAGUCUGAGGUUAAAGACCACAGCUUAACUGUGGGAAGGCCUUGGAAACUGACUGGCUAGAGUGUGGCAGGGGUUGCGGGAAUUCCCGGUGUAGCGGUGAAAUGCGUAGAUAUCGGGAAGAACACCUGAGGCGAAAGCGCGCAACUGGGCCCUAACUGACGCUGAGGUACGAAAGCUAGGGGAGCGAAUGGG
Molecule: ribosomal RNA, 253 nt
Filed under: uncultured bacterium
Lineage: Bacteria
Description: partial 16S ribosomal RNA
Rfam family: Bacterial small subunit ribosomal RNA
Source: RNAcentral